Molecule: long non-coding RNA, 1343 nt
Filed under: Ornithorhynchus anatinus (platypus)
Lineage: Eukaryota; Metazoa; Chordata; Mammalia; Monotremata; Ornithorhynchidae
Description: lncRNA (ENSOANG00000049695.1)
Source: RNAcentral
GCUCAAAGGAGAGAGCUGCUUGCAAUCUUUCACCUGGUUUUGUUUUCCCCCAUGCACAGCAAUAAAAACCCCCGAUCUGCUUAUUCUCUACCUCUAGGCAAACGUCUUCAGUUACCUAUGGGAAGGGUCUCUUUAUUUCUUUUCCCCUGUCUGCUGCUCCUUCUCCUCCCUUCUGGCCAUCUCUUUGCCUUGGCUGCUUGAAUGUUUGCUCUCUCACUGUGCUGGCUCUCCACCUUUCCCCCCUGGGACAUUUCUUUUGGCUUGGUUUCCCUUUAGAGAAUCAUAACAUGUAGCUUCCGUUCCUGACUUUGCAGCUCCUGGUUACUCAGCUUCUGUGGUGCAGUGUCUAUCUGUGAAUGACCCUCCUCCCUUCUUCCCUGGCCUUUUCAACUCCCCUGUGUGAAUCACCCUGACUGAGGAGGGGGGGAGAAAGGAAGACCUUGGCAUUACUAACCCUUUAUGGAGAAUGUCACCAUUAUCCCAACCCAGUGGUGAGAGGAUGAAGAUCCAGUCAUCUGGCGAGUCAGGAUCCAAUCAGCUAACAGGCCAGAGCCCCACCCUCCAGGAUGCUCAGGACUUCCACGGGGCCAAGAGAACGGAUACACUAUGCAGGAGGUGGUCACUCCCUGGAAAUGGUCCCUGGCUCCCGGCUUGGCGACUUCUCCGCUUCCAGCCGCUUCUUCCAGGAGGAGCGGCCGCCAGCGUUUACUGCCUGGAGAGGAGACACUUUCUGCUCGAUGUGACGCGAUGAGGAGGCUGGCUGGAAGAGAGGACGCGGAGCCUAUGUUCGGCACUUUGGGAGAGUGGGCUGUUCCCUCCUGGGAGCCCAGUGGGCAAAAGACUUUUCCCUUCUCCCCACUGGCAGCCAAAGUGACUCUCAGCUUAACCCUUUGGGGCCUAGUCCUGGCUAGCUCUAUUCCCAAAGUGGAGGAGGUUUUUUUUUUUCUCCCUCUUGGUUCCAACUGGCAGGAGUUUUGACUUUUGAACUGUGUUCAGCUCAGCUCCAGUUGUAACUAAGAGCACCCGUUCACACCACUAGAUGAGCCAUAAAAGUUUACUGGAGAUGAACCAGGUCGUAAACAGGCUCAGCCUGGGAGUAAUUACUUAUCUGACACAAUUGGAGAGAAACUCGGCUCACUCUAGGUGGGAAAUCAGGAUAUGCCAGCUAGCAUACUCGAUUUAUGUUCUUUAAUCAGCAUAGAGGGUCAGCCCUCCUGUUGGGGUGAGGGUCUGGUUACUAAGACCCUGGUGACAUCACUGGGGUAGGGCUGGGAGGCAACAAUGCUGAAUUAACUGUGACCGCGCCCCCCCCCCAAAAAAAACCCCAUAAAAGUGCUUCCCAU